RNAcentral lists this ribosomal RNA (892 nucleotides) under uncultured Lysobacterales bacterium. RNAcentral's name for it is "bacterial SSU rRNA". It matches the Rfam family "Bacterial small subunit ribosomal RNA", at positions 509 to 1399 of the family's 1533-position model. Lineage: Bacteria; Pseudomonadati; Pseudomonadota; Gammaproteobacteria; Lysobacterales. The record is from RNAcentral.
CAGCAGCCGCGGUAAUACGAAGGGUGCAAGCGUUAAUCGGAAUUACUGGGCGUAAAGGGUGCGUAGGCGGUUUGUUAAGUCUGUCGUGAAAUCCCCGGGCUCAACCUGGGAAUGGCGAUGGAUACUGGCAAGCUAGAGUGUGUCAGAGGAUGGUGGAAUUUCCGGUGUAGCGGUGAAAUGCGUAGAGAUCGGAAGGAACAUCAGUGGCGAAGGCGGCCAUCUGGGACAACACUGACGCUGAAGCACGAAAGCGUGAGGAGCAAACAGGAUUAGAUACCCUGGUAGUCCACGCCCUAAACGAUGCGAACUGGAUGUUGGUCUCAACUCGGAGAUCAGUGUCGAAGCUAACGCGUUAAGUUCGCCGCCUGGGGAGUACGGUCGCAAGACUGAAACUCAAAGGAAUUGACGGGGGCCCGCACAAGCGGUGGAGUAUGUGGUUUAAUUCGAUGCAACGCGAAGAACCUUACCUGGCCUUGACAUGUCUGGAAUCCUGCAGAGAUGCGGGAGUGCCUUCGGGAAUCAGAACACAGGUGCUGCAUGGCUGUCGUCAGCUCGUGUCGUGAGAUGUUGGGUUAAGUCCCGCAACGAGCGCAACCCUUGUCCUUAGUUGCCAGCACGUAAUGGUGGGAACUCUAAGGAGACUGCCGGUGACAAACCGGAGGAAGGUGGGGAUGACGUCAAGUCCUCAUGGCCCUUACGGCCAGGGCUACACACGUACUACAAUGGUCGGUACAGAGGGUUGCAAUACCGCGAGGUGGAGCCAAUCCCAGAAAGCCGAUCCCAGUCCGGAUCGGAGUCUGCAACUCGACUCCGUGAAGUCGGAAUCGCUAGUAAUCGCGGAUCAGCUAUGCCGCGGUGAUACGUUCCCGGGCCUUGCACUCACCGCCCGUCA